RNAcentral lists this ribosomal RNA (398 nucleotides) under Bruchidius nigricornis. RNAcentral's name for it is "partial 12S ribosomal RNA". Lineage: Eukaryota; Metazoa; Arthropoda; Insecta; Coleoptera; Chrysomelidae. RNAcentral also lists the same sequence under 1 other name. The record is from RNAcentral.
UAAACUAGGAUUAGAUACCCUAUUAUUAUAAAUGUUUAUUUUUAUACUAAAUUAUUAAUAGUUAUGUUCUUUAAAAUUAAAAAAUUUGGCGGUAUUUUAGUCUUUUCAGAGGAACCUGUCCUGUAAUUGAUAGUCCACGAUUAGGGAUACUUUAUUUAUUAAUUUACAUAUCGUCGUAGUUUGAAUAUUUUAUUAGAAUUAUAAUAUUCAAGAUUUUAUUUUAGAAAAUAUAUCAGAUCAAGGUGUAGUUUAUAAUAAAGAAGAGGUGGGUUACAAUAAAUUUAUUUUUGAAUAAAUUUUUUGAAAAAAUUUUGAAUUUGGAUUUGAAAGUAAUUUUUUGAGUUUUACUAAAAAUGAUUAUAGCUCUAAAAUAUGUACACAUCGCCCGUCGCUCUUAA